RNAcentral lists this ribosomal RNA (369 nucleotides) under uncultured bacterium. Its description in RNAcentral is "bacterial SSU rRNA". It matches the Rfam family "Bacterial small subunit ribosomal RNA", at positions 527 to 898 of the family's 1533-position model. The record is from RNAcentral.
GUAGGGGGCAAGCGUUGUCCGGAUUCACUGGGUGUAAAGGGCGCGCAGGCGGGUUAGCAAGUCAGAGGUGAAAUCCUACAGCUUAACUGUAGAACUGCCUUUGAGACUGCUAAUCUUGAGUACGGAAGAGAGAGAUGGAAUUCCAGGUGUAGUGGUGAAAUACGUAGAUAUCUGGAAGAACACCAGUGGCGAAGGCGGUCUCUUGGUCCUAUACUGACGCUAAGGCGCGAAAGCGUGGGGAGCAAACAGGAUUAGAUACCCUGGUAGUCCACGCUGUAAACGAUGAAUACUAGGUGUCGGGUCGAAAGGUUCGGUACCGAAGCUAACGCAUUAAGUAUUCCACCUGGGGAGUACGAUCGCAAGGUUGAA